Molecule: long non-coding RNA, 3486 nt
Organism: Cyprinus carpio carpio
Lineage: Eukaryota; Metazoa; Chordata; Actinopteri; Cypriniformes; Cyprinidae
Source: Ensembl
AUGCACAAACCAGAAGCAACAAUAUCUGCAGAGAAGGGUUGGCCAUUCUCAAAACAUAAAAUAGGCCUAUUGUUUAUGAAUAGGCUACAUUCUGUGAAAAUUUAUAUUUCACACUCUAAAAAAAUAUUGUAUGGACGCAACAAAAUAAAACGGCCGACGCUCCACUCAGCUUCAACUUUAUUUUAUUUAUUUAUUUAUUUUUAUUUUAUUUUUAUAGGCUACAUUAUGAAAAUAACAUUUCAACUUUAUCCACGGAGCAAGUGCGGAGCAGUGUUUCUGGUAUCAGUGAGCGCGGAGCGGAUUGAUUAUUAAAUGCUCGAGCGCGGAGGGGAAAUUGUAUGAUUGCAUGAUGAGCUAGUAUUAAAAAAUAAAUAAAAUAAAGGUAUUUCCAGCAUUAAGGUAAUAACGUUACUGCUUUUUAUUAAUCAUCUUGUCUCAGUUAUAAAUUUGACUGGUAAAUGAUAAAGAAUUAUAUUAAAACUUGUCUUGAACAAUUUCUUUGUCAUUUGAAUAUUGAUUUUAAGUAUGGCGGCAAAAAAAAAAAAAACAAAACAAAAAAAAAAACAAUUUAAAUCGUAAAACGGAUUUUUUUGUGAAAAAAAUCUGGGAUUUUUUUUAGGCCAUAAGGCCUAUCGCCCAGCCCUAAUGCAACAGUUUGCAUCUUUUUAUUUUAUUUUAUUUAUUUAUUAUUUAUUUAAAUUUUAGUUAAGGCACUUCCUCUGAAAUUAAGUUAUAAUAACUAAUAAACUUUAUUGCGCUAUACAGUAGUCAACAUUUGAAGUGGAUCAAACCUUUCUUUAAAGUUGUCCUAAAACCUCUUCUGCAAGUUUGAUACCCUCAUAAGACACUGUCCAUAUGAAAGAGCAAGAAAUUCACACCUUUAUCUCGACCCCCACAAGCUAUACAGAACUACCCCACAGCCCCCUCCAGCUGAACUGAACUCGGUCUGUUUUUGGGCUGUGAGGAACGGUGUGUUGUUACUGGGUUGAAACAUGCCUGCACUCACAGCAGCCCUACUCUUUUUAUUCAUUAUUUUCUCGCAGCCCAUAUUAUUAUUUUCACUAGACCAAAAUAAUAACAAAUUAUCAAUUGAUAAUUAAUCAUUAUUUUUGUGAAAAUCAUUAUUAUUUGUGAACGUAGGCGUUUGAGGAAGGCUUUAAAACCAAGCGGAAUCCUCCGUCAGCUGCUCCCGCUUCACUGCGACCGCGAGCUCUAACUGACCCAGCUUCACCGUCCGCGGUUUGAUUUUACUAAAUCAGUUUGAGCGAAUACAACUCAUUGAUCAUGAGCCCAACAUUUAGCAAGGUGGGAAAACAUUCAGUCUACCUGAAGGAAGACGUAUUUCAUUGAGCUAAUGCUGUUAAAUAGAGAUUAAAAAAAAAAAAAAAACCUAGUGUAGGCUAUUCUUAAACUUGGAUCUCAUUAUAUUGAAGUAAAAAUCCAAACACCAGAAGCAACCUACACUCUCAGUGUUCUUUCAUUGAAAAGUAUGCAUUUUAUUUAUUCACAGGCUAUAUGGUAGAAAGUACGGAGCCCCUCUGGUCCCACUUUGUCAAAAAAAAAAAAAAAAACUUAUCUUGUGGCCUCAAGAUACUAACUCGUGGCCUCAAGAUAAGUAACUCGUGGCCUCAAGAUACUAACUCGUGGCCUCAAGAUACUAACUCGUGGCCUCAAGAUAAGUAACUUGUGGCCUCAAGAUACUAACUCGUGGCCUCAAGAUAGUGAAGUGUCUGACACAUGGACCUUUGUUAUUAAACUGGACCCUGUACUGUAGUGCAAUGUAAUACUUCACAUUCUGUGCAAUAUUCUCUGUUUUAAUAUUCAGUGUAAUAAAGUUUGCUGCAGUUCUGCUUCUAUUUAUUUACUAGUACUGUUCAUCACAAUUAAUUCAAUUCUGUUAAUACAGUAAUGUAAAUCUUGUAGGCUGUAUAUCCAUAGUCCUUUAUAAUUCUUCUUCAUAUUUUAUAGCAUAUGUUUCUGAGUUAAACAAAACCAAGUAAUUGCAAUGAUACAUAAUACAACACUCGGUUAGUCUUUGUAACGUAAAUCUCCUCAGAUGACAUAGACGCCUGACAACUUUGUUGUUGUGAUUAACGUAAACACGCAAUUCAUACUUUGCAGUCACGUGACUACCAUGGAUACCUGGCGGGCAACAAACGCUGACAAAAUGCAUCCAAGUGUGCAUCCAAUCGCACAACAACUAUCUGCCAUGCAGGCGACGAUUGUUUACACCUCAAAACACCAACUUUUGUAUAUUAAAACUGGCAAGGUCCUGUCAAGAUCCUAUUAAUUCAUACUUUGCACAUGACGUCACAAGUACUGGCUGGGAAAUACUGGGAAAUACACAUAAAUACAUACAGCCAGACGGAGGUACCGUGACCUAAGCCUAGAACGCCCUCUGCUGACGUUUUUAUCGUAGGCUACAAGGACAUGCUUUUUCAAAAUGUGAAACACUUCAAUAAUUAAUGAACCAGUCUGCACACUACUAUAGGCUAACUUAAAAUCAGAAUCAGAAAUAUUUUAUUGAUCUUUAUUGAUAUUGAUAACUCGGGGGACAAUUCUUGUGUCACAGUUGAUGUGCACAUCAAGACAUUUAAAGGAAUAUAAAUAAUAAUAGAAGUUGGUAAAUAAACAAGUAGCCUAUAUACAUGUAAAAAGUAUAAAUAUAUGCUAUAAAAUAUGAAGAAGAAUUAUAAAGGACUAUGGAUAUGCAGCCUACAAGAUUCACAUUAAAUUAAAUUAAAUUUAUGCAUUUAGCAGACGCUUUUAUCCAAAGCGACUUACAGUGCAUUCAAGCUAUCAAUUUUUACUUAUCAUGUGCUCCCGGGGAAUCGAACCCCCAACCUUGCGCUUGGUAACGCAAUGCUCUACCACUUGAGCUACAGGAGCACUACUGUACAGCAUUACUGUAUUAACAGAAUUGAAUUGAUUGUGAUGAACAGUAUUUAAUAAAUAAAUAGAAGCAGAACUGCAGCAAACUUUAUUACACUCAAUAUUAAAACAGAGAAUAUUGCACAGAAUGUGAAGUUUUACAUUGCACUACAGUACAGGGUCCAGUUUAAUAACAAAGGGUCCAUGUGUCAGACACUUCACUAUCUUGAGGCCACGAGUUAGUAUCUUGAGGCCACGAGUUACUUAUCUUGAGGCCACGAGUUAGUAUCUUGAGGCCACAAGAUAAGUUUUUUUUUUUUUUUGGCAAAGUGGGACCAGAGGGGCUCCGUAAGAAAUAAUAUUUUAGUUGAAAACUUUAAGUGCCAUUGUUUAAAAAAUGCAUCAUAGAAACGUUUCUAAAUUACUACCCCAAUUCUAUAAUGGUAAAAUUUAUUCAGGCCGAUGGCGUUUUUUAUGACAUUAUUUAUUUUUAUUUUUAGAAUAAUUGUAUCCUACAUAAAUGAGUGAAUCAAAACAAAUAUAACUUUUUAACUGCAGGCAGAUAGGCCUAUAUUAUUGUACAUUACAAAUAUUUGGAUCGUCCCUAAUUCUGUC